UGGAGAGAUACAAGUCUGUUGC
Molecule: non-coding RNA, 22 nt
Filed under: Arabidopsis thaliana (thale cress)
Lineage: Eukaryota; Viridiplantae; Streptophyta; Magnoliopsida; Brassicales; Brassicaceae
Source: RNAcentral